UAUAAGCAAUUAUACCGCGAAACUGCGAAUGGCUCAUUAAAUCAGUUAUCGUUUAUUUGAUAGCACCUUACUACUUGGAUAACCGUGGUAAUUCUAGAGCUAAUACAUGCUGAAAAUCCCAACUUCGGAAGGGAUGUAUUUAUUAGAUUAAAAACCAAUGCCCUCCGGGGCUCACUGGUGAUUCAUAAUAACUUCUCGAAUCGCAUGGCCUUGCGCCGGCGAUGGUUCAUUCAAAUUUCUGCCCUAUCAACUUUCGACUGCUGGGUCUUGGCCAGCAAUGGUGACAACGGGUAACGGAGGGUUAGGGCUCGACCCCGGAGAAGGAGCCUGAGAGACGGCUACUACAUCCAAGGAAGGCAGCAGGCGCGCAAAUUACCCAAUCCCGACACGGGGAGGUAGUGACAAUAAAUACUGAUACAGGGCUCUUUUGGGUCUUGUAAUUGGAAUGAGUACAAUUUAAAUCCCUUAACGAGGAACAAUUGGAGGGCAAGUCUGGUGAAAUUGCUGGCGCCGGAAAUAGUAAGCCCGUCAAAUUACUAGUCGAGCAUUCGUCAUUGGCGGGAGAAUGCCGGCGAGACAACCCGGACCGGGGGAGGUUACGGAGCUCUAGCUCUAUGCUAACCCCGGGCAGAGCCGAUGUCUAGGCGACUUCGGCCUGUUUAGAGCGCGGAAGGGUGUCGGUCCUGUGCAUUUGGGCGUGCAAACGCCCCGGUGUUCAGGGCUUAAGGGACGUGCCAACCCCCUGCGAAAGCAGGGUAUCACCUCAAAGUGCCCGCCGCACGACGAGGCGAUGGGUCUCUCUCCGCGCGAGAGAGCCGUACUGUAAAAAAUGGCCAGCAGCCGCGGUAAUUCCAGCUCCAAUAGCGUAUAU
Molecule: ribosomal RNA, 871 nt
Filed under: Distoseptispora aquatica
Lineage: Eukaryota; Fungi; Ascomycota; Sordariomycetes; Distoseptisporaceae
Description: SSU rRNA
Rfam family: Eukaryotic small subunit ribosomal RNA
Source: RNAcentral